RNAcentral lists this ribosomal RNA (492 nucleotides) under uncultured bacterium. RNAcentral describes it as "partial 16S ribosomal RNA". It matches the Rfam family "Bacterial small subunit ribosomal RNA", at positions 29 to 507 of the family's 1533-position model. The record is from RNAcentral.
AGUGAACGCUGGCGGUAGGCCUAACACAUGCAAGUCGAACGGCAGCACAGUAAGAGCUUGCUCUUACGGGUGGCGAGUGGCGGACGGGUGAGGAAUACAUCGGAAUCUACUUUUUCGUGGGGGAUAACGUAGGGAAACUUACGCUAAUACCGCAUACGACCUACGGGUGAAAGCAGGGGAUCUUCGGACCUUGCGCGAUUGAAUGAGCCGAUGUCGGAUUAGCUAGUUGGCGGGGUAAAGGCCCACCAAGGCGACGAUCCGUAGCUGGUCUGAGAGGAUGAUCAGCCACACUGGAACUGAGACACGGUCCAGACUCCUACGGGAGGCAGUAGUGGGGAAUAUUGGACAAUGGGCGCAAGCCUGAUCCAGCCAUACCGCGUGGGUGAAGAAGGCCUUCGGGUUGUAAAGCCCUUUUGUUGGGAAAGAAAAGCAGCAGGUUAAUACCCCGCUGUUCUGACGGUACCCAAAGAAUAAGCACCGGCUAACCUCGUG